ACUUUCAUUGAAAAGUUAUCCAUAUGAAGCCUUCAUUUUGUCUUUUUUUUUUAUGGCUUGUUUUUUAUUUCAGUGUCCAAGUGUGAUGGAAGUUCUUCAAGACUGACCCUGAAAGGUACCUGGCUCCCUCACAGAAAAGAGGAUGGAAAAAUAAUCAGAUGUUUUCACCACAAAAUGGAGAAGUCAUCUUUAACUUUCCUCAAAAAAAUGUUAUCCUCAUAUGACAACAUGUCAACUCAUUUGAGCCUGCUGGAUACAAUAAGAUUUAUUGUUACCCUUGACCUCUGAGAGCUCCUAAAAAUUAUCCUGAGCAGUGUCACAUACGAACUAAACCCAGAAAUACAGGGUAAACCAGUUACACUGACACGAAUGAGCCAGGUGAUGAAUUCUGGUAAUCUCCUACCUCACAAGAGAACAGCACCAAUUGUACAUAUGAAGAUUUUUUUUCUGCAUCCUAUACUUGAGAGAAAGCAUAGAAAAAUUGAAACUAAAGGAAAAUUACGGAAGUCAGAGAUGCUAAAAAGGAACAGAUCAAGUAUCUCCCUUUUGGCCCAAACUUGAAAACUCUGAGGGAACAGAAAGUAAUAUACUGUCACUGCUAUGGAGACUGCUGGUCCUUAGAAGCAAUGAAGAGGCAUCCUCAAAGUUACAUUUAUGAGAGGUUAUCCUUGUAUGGAGCCUACAAACAAGUACCUGUACAAAUACGCCUGCCAGGAUUAAAGCUAAAGGUGAGCAAUAACUCUUUAUUUCAGCAAGAUCUUGGUUACAAAUUAACUUUGCUAUGCUCACUGUACAAGGGCUUACCCCACAUGUUUUUCAGGAAGUGGAUCCUGUUACUGUUCUGUGGAGACAGGCAAUGUCAUUCCUUCAGAUUUUUUAAUAUCAUUGCAGAGAUGUAUAACUCAGGGCAGGGAGAUGGAAGGCUGUGGAUAGAAGGUGAAUGA
This 944-nucleotide long non-coding RNA is filed under the name Manacus vitellinus (golden-collared manakin). RNAcentral describes it as "lncRNA (ENSMVIG00005008962.1)". Lineage: Eukaryota; Metazoa; Chordata; Aves; Passeriformes; Pipridae. The record is from RNAcentral.